RNAcentral lists this ribosomal RNA (445 nucleotides) under uncultured bacterium. RNAcentral's name for it is "partial 16S ribosomal RNA". It matches the Rfam family "Bacterial small subunit ribosomal RNA", at positions 354 to 796 of the family's 1533-position model. The record is from RNAcentral.
GUGAGGAAUAUUGCGCAAUGGAGGCAACUCUGACGCAGCCAUGCCGCGUGCAGGAAGAAGGCGCUACGCGUUGUAAACUGCUUUUAACCGGGAAGAAACCCCAGGACGUGUCCUGGGUUGACGGUACCGGAGGAAUAAGCACCGGCUAACUUCGUGCCAGCAGCCGCGGUAAUACGAAGGGUGCAAGCGUUAUCCGGAUUCAUUGGGUUUAAAGGGUGCGUAGGCGGAACGUUAAGUCAGUGGUGAAAUCCUGCAGCUUAACUGUAGACUUGCCAUUGAUACUGGCGCUCUUGAGUGCGCUUGAAGUGGGCGGAAUGUGACGUGUAGCGGUGAAAUGCUUAGAUAUGGCACAGAACACCAAUUGCGAAGGCAGCUCACUAAGGCGAUACUGACGCUGAGGCACGAAAGCGUGGGGAUCGAACAGGAUUAGAAACCCCGGUAGUCC